This 412-nucleotide small RNA is filed under the name Pan troglodytes (chimpanzee). RNAcentral's name for it is "retained intron". The record is from RNAcentral. Lineage: Eukaryota; Metazoa; Chordata; Mammalia; Primates; Hominidae.
GACGGUCCCCAGAGAGCCACCGGAGGAGCAGCUCACCUGAGAGACGGAGCCCCGGCUCGCCCGUGUGCAGAGCGGACAAGGCAAAAUCUCAGCAAGUUCGGACCUCUAGUACAAUAAGGCGAACCUCCUCUUUGGAUACAAUAACAGGACCUUACCUCACGGGACAGUGGCCACGGGAUCCUCAUGUUCACUACCCUUCAUGCAUGAAAGACAAAGCUACUCAGGUAAAAUCAGGAAAUCAAAAUCAGAUUAUUACCCUGCACUUCUUCUGUUUUGAUCACAGUAAAGAAAAUGUAAUAUAAUCAAAUUUCCCCAAAUUUGAAAUACAUCCAACCAAGGAAGAAAGGAAAAAUCCAUUGUUUUAAAUAAACUUUGCAGUAAUUGUUUUUUGUCAUCUGGGUUUUAGAAGUUU